GCGGGCGUAGCUCAGUUGGUAGAGCGUAGGUUUCCCAAACCUGAGGUCGCGGGUUCAAGCCCCGUCGCCCGCU
This 73-nucleotide transfer RNA is filed under the name Pyrinomonadaceae bacterium. Its description in RNAcentral is "tRNA-Gly". It matches the Rfam family "tRNA". Rfam says of the family: Transfer RNA (tRNA) molecules are approximately 80 nucleotides in length. Lineage: Bacteria; Pseudomonadati; Acidobacteriota; Blastocatellia; Blastocatellales; Pyrinomonadaceae. The record is from RNAcentral.